This 246-nucleotide ribosomal RNA is filed under the name uncultured bacterium. Its description in RNAcentral is "partial 16S ribosomal RNA". It matches the Rfam family "Bacterial small subunit ribosomal RNA", at positions 334 to 594 of the family's 1533-position model. The record is from RNAcentral.
UGUCCCUACGGGGGGCAGCAGUGGGGAAUAUUGGGCCAUGGGCGCAAGCCUGACCCAGCAACGCCGCGUGAAGGAAGAAGGCCCUCGGGUUGUAAACUUCUUUUAUUCGGGACGAAACAAAUGACGGUACCGAAUGAAUAAGCCACGGCUAACUACGUGCCAGCAGCCGCGGUAAUACGUAGGUGGCAAGCGUUAUCCGGAUUUACUGGGUGUAAAGUGCGGGUAGGCGGGAGGGCCAGUCAGACG